This 253-nucleotide ribosomal RNA is filed under the name uncultured bacterium. RNAcentral's name for it is "partial 16S ribosomal RNA". It matches the Rfam family "Bacterial small subunit ribosomal RNA", at positions 524 to 776 of the family's 1533-position model. The record is from RNAcentral.
UACAGAGGUGGCAAGCGUUGUUCGGAAUUACUGGGCGUAAAGGGCGCGUAGGCGGCCCUCUAAGUCAGACGUGAAAUCCCCCGGCUUAACCUGGGAACCGCGUCUGAUACUGGAGGGCUUGAGUAUGGGAGAGGGAUGUAGAAUUCCAGGUGUAGCGGUGAAAUGCGUAGAUAUCUGGAGGAAUACCGGUGGCGAAGGCGGCAUCCUGGACCGACAUUGACGCUGAUGAGCGAAAGCUAGGGGAGCAAACGGG